Prionailurus viverrinus (fishing cat) is the source of this 296-nucleotide long non-coding RNA. RefSeq lists it as uncharacterized. Lineage: Eukaryota; Metazoa; Chordata; Mammalia; Carnivora; Felidae. The record is from RefSeq and is a predicted model, not a curated record. The transcript has 2 exons.
CUCCCGCUCCCGCUCCCGCUCCGGCCCCGCUCCUCCGGAAGCCCCAUAGCGUCAAGUUCCGAGCGCCGUAGCAGCCUUUGCGGGAAAAACUCCUCCCAAGACGUUGAGGGCUCUGCCUGGGGACAGGAUGCCCUCUCUGCUAACCUUGGGGCCAGCUCAGAAUUUUCUGCCACCUCUGAAGAUAUGUCUUCACUCUCCCUGCCUCCACAAAUUCCCAUAUAGAUCUCAAGUACAAGACGCAAGUGAAGACUAGGAGGGGCUUUUAGGUCUUUGCUAAUAAACACAUCUCCUCAUUA